GGGCCGGUAGCUCAAUGGUCAGAGCAGCGGACUCAUAAUCCGUUGGUUCCAGGUUCAAGUCCUGGGCGGCCCACCA
This 76-nucleotide transfer RNA is filed under the name Planctomycetota bacterium. RNAcentral's name for it is "Planctomycetes bacterium (marine metagenome) tRNA-Ile". It matches the Rfam family "tRNA". Rfam says of the family: Transfer RNA (tRNA) molecules are approximately 80 nucleotides in length. Their secondary structure includes four short double-helical elements and three loops (D, anti-codon, and T loops). Lineage: Bacteria; Pseudomonadati; Planctomycetota. The record is from RNAcentral.